This is a long non-coding RNA of Oryzias melastigma (Indian medaka), 427 nucleotides long. RefSeq lists it as uncharacterized. The transcript is spliced from 2 exons. The record is from RefSeq and is a predicted model, not a curated record. Lineage: Eukaryota; Metazoa; Chordata; Actinopteri; Beloniformes; Adrianichthyidae.
CGAGCUUGGCCUGAGGACAGAGGAAAGCCUGAGCUGAAGCUCAACCCAAUGCCCCUCUACCUUGAGAAGACUGAAGACCAUCUCUCUGAACUUCUCCACUGAGGUGCCUUUAGAAGGCUUGUCGAAUGCCGGAGCCUCCCUCCGUGGCUCGGGUUCUUCACUCAGAUCAUAGCGUGCCACUUCCCCCAGCUGACAGUGGAUGAUGCCGCUGUGGUCCCCCCAGCUUCCCGUGUAGACCUGGGACGGAGAGGCGCCGUGAACAUUUGCAGUGAGCAUCGUCAUGGAGACACGGGGCGAGAACAGCAGCUUCAUACCUGGUUGUUUGGCAGUGACGACAAGCACCUUCCAAAGUAGAGCGUCUCUUUGUCACACAGACUGCUGCAAGCUGAGCCAUCAAUCACUCCUCUUCUGUACUUUUCACACUUAA